ACGGGAGGCAGCAGUGGGGAAUUUUGGGCAAUGGCCGAAAGGCUGACCCAGCGACGCCGCGUGUGGGAGGAAGCCCUUCGGGGUGUAAACCACUGUCGGGAGGGACGAAUGAGGAGCGUGGGAAUACUGCGCUUCUGUGACGGUACCUUCAAAGGAAGCGCCGGCUAACUCUGUGCCAGCAGCCGCGGUAAGACAGAGGGCGCGAGCGUUGUUCGGAAUUACUGGGCGUAAAGCGCGCGUAGGCGGAUCUGUAUGUCCGUAAGUGAAAUCCCGCCGCUCAACGGCGGGGCUGCUUGGGAAACGGCAGGUCUGGGGACCGGUAGAGGUCGGUAGAAUUCCCGGUGUAGCGGUGGAAUGCGUAGAGAUCGGGAAGAAUACCCGUGGCGAAGGCGGCCGACUGGGCCGGAUCCGACGCUGAUGCGCGAAAGCGUGGGGAGCAAACAGGAUUAGAUACCCUGGUA
RNAcentral lists this ribosomal RNA (461 nucleotides) under uncultured Gemmatimonadota bacterium. Its description in RNAcentral is "bacterial SSU rRNA". It matches the Rfam family "Bacterial small subunit ribosomal RNA", at positions 341 to 792 of the family's 1533-position model. The record is from RNAcentral. Lineage: Bacteria; Pseudomonadati; Gemmatimonadota.